RNAcentral lists this ribosomal RNA (487 nucleotides) under uncultured bacterium. RNAcentral's name for it is "bacterial SSU rRNA". It matches the Rfam family "Bacterial small subunit ribosomal RNA", at positions 29 to 525 of the family's 1533-position model. The record is from RNAcentral.
AAUGAACGUUGGCGGCGUGGAUUAGGCAUGCAAGUCGUACGGGAAUCGUAGCAAUACGAGGAAAGUGGCGGAAGGGAGAGGAUUACGUGGGAAUCUACCCUCAGAACUGGGAUAGCGGCGGGAAACUGCCGGUAAUACCAGAUAAUGUCUGUGGACCAAAGGUGUGAUUCCGUCUGGGGAUGAGCCCACGUCCUAUUAGCUAGUUGGCAGGGUAAUGGCCUACCAAGGCAAUGAUGGGUAGCGGGUGUGAGAGCAUGACCCGCCUCACUGGGACUGAGAACUGCCCAGACACCUACGGGUGGCUGCAGUCGAGAAUCUUCGGCAAUGAGCGCAAGCUUGACCCGAGCGACGCCGCGUGCGGGAUGAAGGCCUUCGGGUUGUAAACCGCUGUCGUAGGGGAGCAAGAGAUGAGGGUACUCCCUCUGAUUUGAGCGAUCCUAGGGAGGAAGGGACGGGGCUAAGUUCGUGCCAGCAGCCGCGGGUAAUU